RNAcentral lists this transfer RNA (90 nucleotides) under Burkholderiales bacterium. RNAcentral describes it as "tRNA-Ser". It matches the Rfam family "tRNA". Rfam says of the family: Transfer RNA (tRNA) molecules are approximately 80 nucleotides in length. Their secondary structure includes four short double-helical elements and three loops (D, anti-codon, and T loops). The record is from RNAcentral. Lineage: Bacteria; Pseudomonadati; Pseudomonadota; Betaproteobacteria; Burkholderiales.
GGAGGCGUGGCCGAGUGGUUUAAGGCACUGGUCUUGAAAACCAGCGAAGGGGCAACUCUUCCGUGAGUUCGAAUCUCACCACCUCCGCCA